CAGCCGCCACGGGAAUACGUAGGGUGCGAGCGUUAAUCGGAAUUACUGGGCGUAAAGCGUGCGCAGGCGGUUGUGUAAGACAGGUGUGAAAUCCCCGGGCUUAACCUGGGAACUGCGCUUGUGACUGCACAGCUAGAGUAUGGCAGAGGGGGGUGGAAUUCCACGUGUAGCAGUGAAAUGCGUAGAGAUGUGGAGGAACACCGAUGGCGAAGGCAGCCCCCUGGGCCAAUACUGACGCUCAUGCACGAAAGCGUGGGGAGCAAACAGGAUUAGAUACCCGCGUAGUCCCUGUCUCUUAUAC
RNAcentral lists this ribosomal RNA (301 nucleotides) under uncultured bacterium. Its description in RNAcentral is "partial 16S ribosomal RNA". It matches the Rfam family "Bacterial small subunit ribosomal RNA", at positions 509 to 807 of the family's 1533-position model. The record is from RNAcentral.